CAGUCGCCGCGGUAAUACAGAGGGUGCGAGCGUUAAUCGGAUUUACUGGGCGUAAAGCGUGCGUAGGCGGCUUUUUAAGUCGGAUGUGAAAUCCCUGAGCUUAACUUAGGAAUUGCAUUCGAUACUGGGAAGCUAGAGUAUGGGAGAGGAUGGUAGAAUUCCAGGUGUAGCGGUGAAAUGCGUAGAGAUUUGGAGGAAUACCGAUGGCGAAGGCAGCCAUCAGGCCUAAUACUGACGCUGAGGUACGAAAGCAUGGGGAGCAAACAGGAUUAGAUACCCCCGUAGUCCCUGUCUCUUAUAC
Molecule: ribosomal RNA, 301 nt
Filed under: uncultured bacterium
Lineage: Bacteria
Description: partial 16S ribosomal RNA
Rfam family: Bacterial small subunit ribosomal RNA
Source: RNAcentral